Molecule: ribosomal RNA, 469 nt
Filed under: uncultured bacterium
Lineage: Bacteria
Description: bacterial SSU rRNA
Rfam family: Bacterial small subunit ribosomal RNA
Source: RNAcentral
GACGAACGCUUGCGGCGUGCCUAAGAAAUGCAAGUCGAGCGAGCUCAAGCCUUCGGGCGGAAAGCUAGCGGCGAACGGUCGAGUAACACGUGAGCAACCUGCCCCAAAGCGGGGGAUAGCCCACCGAAAGGUGGAUUAAUACCGCAUGUGGCCGUUCCGGGGCAUCCCGGGACGAUUAAAGCAGCAAUGCGCUUUGGGAUGGGCUCGCGGCCUAUCAGCUUGUUGGUGGGGUAACGGCCUACCAAGGCUACGACGGGUAGCUGGUCUGAGAGGAUGGUCAGCCGGAUUGGGACUGAGACACGGCCCAGACUCCUACGGGGGGCAGCAAUUAGGAAUCUUGCGCAAUGGGCGAAAGCCUGACGCAGCGACGCCGCGUGACCGACGAAAGUCCUUCGGGAUGUAAAGCACUUUUUGUAGAGGAUGAGGAAGGACGGGUAACUCUCAGAAUAAAGUCUCGGCUAACUACGUG